GACGAACGCUGGCGGCGUGCCUAAUACAUGCAAGUCGAGCGGAACUGGGGGUGCUUGCUCCUUCCAGCUUAGCGGCGGACGGGUGAGUAACACGUGGGCAACCUGCCCUGCAGAUCGGGAUAACUCCGGGAAACCGGUGCUAAUACCGAGUAGUUUGGCGCCUCUCCUGAGGCGCUACGGAAAGACGGUUUCGGCUGUCACUGCAGGAUGGGCCCGCGGCGCAUUAGCUAGUUGGUGGGGUAACGGCCUACCAAGGCGACGAUGCGUAGCCGACCUGAGAGGGUGACCGGCCACACUGGGACUGAGACACGGCCCAGACUCCUACGGGAGGCAGCAGUAGGGAAUCUUCCGCAAUGGACGCAAGUCUGACGGAGCAACGCCGCGUGAGUGACGAAGGUUUUCGGAUCGUAAAACUCUGUUGUGAGGGAAGAACACGUACCAACUAACUAUUGGUACCUUGACGGUACCUCGCCAGAAAGCCACGGCUAACUACGUGCCAGCCGCCGCGGUAA
Molecule: ribosomal RNA, 512 nt
Filed under: uncultured bacterium
Lineage: Bacteria
Description: partial 16S ribosomal RNA
Rfam family: Bacterial small subunit ribosomal RNA
Source: RNAcentral